AACGCCCUCUUUUAGAGGGAGUGGCGCACGGGUGCGUAACGCGUGGGAACCUGCCCUUAGGUUCGGAAUAACUCAGAGAAAUUUGAGCUAAUACCGGAUAAUGUCUUCGGACCAAAGAUUUAUCGCCUUUGGAUGGGCCCGCGUAGGAUUAGAUAGUUGGUGGGGUAAUGGCCUACCAAGUCGACGAUCCUUAGCUGGUCUGAGAGGAUGAUCAGCCACACUGGGACUGAGACACGGCCCAGACUCCUACGGGAGGCAGCAGUGGGGAAUAUUGGACAAUGGGCGAAAGCCUGAUCCAGCAAUGCCGCGUGAGUGAUGAAGGCCUUAGGGUUGUAAAGCUCUUUUACCAGGGAUGAUAAUGACAGUACCUGGAGAAUAAGCUCCGGCUAACUCCGUGCCAGCAGCCGCGGUAAUACGGAGGGAGCUAGCGUUGUUCGGAAUUACUGGGCGUAAAGCGCACGUAGGCGGCUUUUCAAGUCAGGGGUGAAAUCCCGGGGCUCAACCCCGGAACUGCCCUUGAAACUGGAUGGCUAGAGUUCGAGAGAGGUGAGUGGAAUUCCGAGUGUAGAGGUGAAAUUCGUAGAUAUUCGGAGGAACACCAGUGGCGAAGGCGGCUCACUGGCUC
RNAcentral lists this ribosomal RNA (625 nucleotides) under uncultured bacterium. RNAcentral's name for it is "bacterial SSU rRNA". It matches the Rfam family "Bacterial small subunit ribosomal RNA", at positions 65 to 735 of the family's 1533-position model. The record is from RNAcentral.